AAGAAUAAUCUUUUUUUAGAAA
RNAcentral lists this transfer RNA (22 nucleotides) under Melanaphis sorghi. RNAcentral describes it as "partial tRNA-Leu". Lineage: Eukaryota; Metazoa; Arthropoda; Insecta; Hemiptera; Aphididae. The record is from RNAcentral.